UGGCUUAGUUGGUAGAGCAUGGUGUUUGCAAUGCCAGGGUUGUGGGUUCGAUUCCCAU
Molecule: transfer RNA, 58 nt
Filed under: Salmo salar (Atlantic salmon)
Lineage: Eukaryota; Metazoa; Chordata; Actinopteri; Salmoniformes; Salmonidae
Rfam family: tRNA
About the family: Transfer RNA (tRNA) molecules are approximately 80 nucleotides in length.
Source: Rfam by way of RNAcentral